UGAACAUGGGCCUUCCAUACGAGCUGAAAGCUAAAUCCGUUUGUGAACCAAACCUUUAAGACGGCUUAGCAGUUGUUAGCAGAAGAAAGUGAUUUAUUAUUUCUUGCCGCAAAUUUUUGAAGAGUGAUACUGUUUGAAAUUUGAAGAUAUGUGGAGAGGAGCUGGAAUUGAUAUUCCAACAUCUGUGUUGCAUUCAUACAUCACAUUCCAUUUCUGUGAGAAUAGAGACUAAUGUUCUUUUCAAAUAAUGCAUUGUGCACAUCAGACUGGAUCUUAAUAUUCUUUUCAUAGAAUGAUGUUUCCUGUAAUGGUGUGGUAUCUUCAGUAUCAAUUGUUCGUGGUGUUGUGACGGUGGCCACUUUUGAUUUUACAAGACUGAUAUUGUUACUGUUUCAAUUUUGUUCACUCUUCUGUGUAUAAAUAUAUAACUGCUUACAUUGCCUUGGCUGUUUUGUUUCCGAAAGUGGUUUAAUAAAAGCUGUGAAAUUUUUUUCGAAGUAAAAA
This is a long non-coding RNA of Parasteatoda tepidariorum (common house spider), 504 nucleotides long. RefSeq lists it as uncharacterized. The record is from RefSeq and is a predicted model, not a curated record. NCBI's taxonomy places the organism in Eukaryota, Metazoa, Arthropoda, Arachnida, Araneae, Theridiidae.